AAUGAACGUUGGCGGCGUGGAUUAGGCAUGCAAGUCGAGCGAGAAUCGUAGCAAUACGAGGGCAGCGGCGAAAGGGAGAGGAAUACGUAGAAAUCUACCCCUGGGACCGGGAUAGCGUCGGGAAACUGGCAGUAAUACCGGAUAACGUCUUAGGACCAAAGGUGUGAUUCCACCUGGGGAUGAGUCUACGCCCUAUUAGCUAGUUGGUGGGGUAAUGGCCUACCAAGGCGAUGAUGGGUAGCGGGUGUGAGAGCAUGAUCCGCCUCACUGGGACUGAGAACUGCCCAGACACCUACGGGUGGCUGCAGUCGAGAAUCUUUGUCAAUGGACGAAAGUCUGAACAAGCGACGCCGCGUGCGGGAUGAAGGCCUCGGUUGUAAACCGCUGUCGUAGGGACGAAAUAGUACGGGGUACGUCCCGUCGUACUUUGUAGUGAUCCUAGGUAGGAAGGAGGAGGCGUAAGCUCGU
RNAcentral lists this ribosomal RNA (468 nucleotides) under uncultured bacterium. RNAcentral describes it as "bacterial SSU rRNA". It matches the Rfam family "Bacterial small subunit ribosomal RNA", at positions 29 to 506 of the family's 1533-position model. The record is from RNAcentral.